CGUCGCGAAGCGGAAAUAGGAUUUUACUUACUUUUCAGAAAAAAAAUUUCAAUUUUAAUAUUUUAAAUAUUUUUUAACUGAAACAGGUUAGUAUUAGUUAAUAAAAAAGAAAUUUUUUUAAUUUUUUUAAAUUUGCCUUUUUAGGUGCGGGAUUUUCAGGGGUAAAAAAACCCAUGUUUUCACUAAACCUUUAAAUUACAUAAGAUAAUUUUCGAAUUUCUUCAUUUUUUUUGCACGUUUUCUAAUAAAUGAUACAUUUCGUAAAUUAACAACCAAGAAAAGAAAAAAAAAAUGUUUGGAUCAUUGUUUUUGGGUGUCUGUAAAGAUUGAUCGAUUAGACCAUGCUACUACAGAGGUAGCCAGUUUUUUAUUUUUUUAAAAUUUUCUCAAACAAAUUGACUUUUUAUAAGUGAAAUAAUAUUCUCGCUACCUCUGUAGUAACAUGCUAUAAAAUCAAUUCAAAAGAGGUGGAUUUAUUAAAAACCGGUUAGUUAGUUUUUGUCAAGAAACUGGCAGCGGGCGGAACAUUCUUUUCUAGUCUUUAAGUUAUAACCUAAGUUUGGCUCUAAUCGUGAUUUAGAAUUUUUUAAAAAUGGUUACUUUUAAUCUUAGCAAACUUCUGGCUGAUAAUUAUCCUCCAAGGCAUAUUUUCACGAGUAAAAAUGUAUCUGAAUGUGCUAAAUUUUUGCAGUCCAAGUUUUUAUCACUUUAUGCUGAUUGCACUGUGAAUUUCAACAUUUUCAAAACUCUGGCUUUUAAUUUAAUAAAAAAAUUUAAUGAGUGUGGAAAAAGAAAAAGUUCUUUCUUACUAAAUAUAAACAUUUUUUGGAUCAAAAUCAACAAUGCAAAUAUCUCUUAUUAGAAAAAGAUUCUGAAAAAGAGAUUAGAACACAUGAGGAAGAACUGCUAUUAAUUAGAAAAGGUGAAAAUCUGAUUAAACAGGGUAAUCAACUCAUCAAGCAGGGUGAGCGUAAAAUAAAAGAAGGGGAAUUACUGCUUCGUACUCAUGGAUCCAAUGUACACAGUGUACCAUGUAGAGUACCUAAAUCAUCUGCAGUCAAUACAUCUUGUACACCAAAACCUAGAUAGUCUUUUAUUAAGCUUACAAAUAGGAUGAAGCGUAAAAGAACAGAUAGUCUUAGAGAACGAGAGGUAGAAGAACUGCAACAUGCUGUCAAAAGGUUUAAAUCUAAUUCUUCUAUUGAUGGUAGGGCUAUUUUAUAUGGUUCAAAUUUGUCAUUGCAAGCUCUUUGUAAUUUGAAACUUACAGAUAGAACAUGGACUGAAUUUAAAAAUAUAGUGACUCAUAAUUGUCAUCUUGUUCCUCCAGGUUUAACCAAGUUGCAGCAAUACAAAAAAUUGACAUAUCCAGAACAGGUUGAAUAUUCUGAAACCGAAGUAAAAUGUAGUCUUUUCCAUAUGAUAAAGCAUUCAUUUUCUAGAGUGUUUGAAUAUCUUUUGGAUUAUGAAAGUAACUGCAUAAUGAGUUUAUCAGAAGAAGAGCGUGAUAAUGUACAAAUUAUUUGCAAAGUAGGAGGUGAUGGUCAAAGUGAUCAAUCUGAGUUUCAAAAUUCAGCAACUAUGAAAAGAGGUGUAGAUGAUCGCUCUGUGUAUAGUAUAAUGUUUGUACUGCUGGAGAUCCGAAGUGGAGAAAAAAUAAUAUGGAAAAAUUUAAUUCCAAAUAAUCCAGAUGCAACCCGUCAUCUUCUUUUUUGUUUUGCAAAAAAGACUGCUAGUUUUAUUCAGGAAAAUUUGAACAUUUGAAAAAUGAAAUUUUUUUAUUGAAGAAUAUUGAAUUUAAACUUGGUGAAAGUACUUUGUAGUAAAGUCUAGUUUGUCAACUAUUUAUACCACAAUGAAUGAUGGCAAAACACUAAACGCUGUUGUAUCAAAUAUGCUUAAAAAAAAAAUUUCAUCUCAGUCCUGCCAUGUAUGCCUUGCAAAUUCUAAGGAGUUUAACUUGAAAACUAUUUGGAAAAAAAAUAUUAAUUUAAACAAGCAUGUUUUGAAACUUGGAAUUUGCAGUCUUCAUCUAUGGAUGCGCUGUAUGGAGUGGAUUUUCAAUACUGCUUGUAAACUCCCAGCUGUUAAGCAAGGAAGAAAUAUUCUAUCACAAAAGAGUAAAGAAUUUAUUGAAAACAAAAAAAAAUUCCAGCAUUUAUUCAAGAUACAACUGAAUAUAAGGGUUUCUUUUGUCAGGAAAGGAUGUGGAACAACCAAUACUGGAAAUGUUGCUCGCAAAUUUUUUAAUAACCCGAUUGUGACAGGGAAAUUUUAAACUUGGAUAUCAGAAUGAUUAAGUUGUUUCGAGAUUUACUCAUUGAUAUAAACAGAACAACUACAAAAUAGUUUAAGAAAGCAAAGUGACAGUUCUUCUGAUAACUGCUUAAAAUAAAGGAAGUAAGACCAUGAAGAAUCAUACUGAUGAGCUGUUCUGUGUUGAAUUUAAAAAAAACCGGCUAUUUUCAUAGCCACAAGUUAUUAAAAAUAUCUAUUAGAAUAGAACGUUGAGAAACUGUGAAAGAAUGCAAAGAGCCAAGUAUCAUAUGAUAGCAGAGUUGUUUAUUAUAUUCAAUGAUACUGUUUAUUUUGAAAUAGUGUUCAUAUACAUUGUUUGUAAAAUUCUAUAAAAUAUAGGCGCCUACUUUUUUUGAAUAAAAUCAUCCGGACUUGUGUAGUUUUCCGGACAAAUAUAGAAUUAGUCCGGA
Molecule: RNA transcript, 2708 nt
Organism: Hydra vulgaris (swiftwater hydra)
Lineage: Eukaryota; Metazoa; Cnidaria; Hydrozoa; Anthoathecata; Hydridae
Source: RefSeq, a predicted model, not a curated record